GAUGAACGCUGGCGGCGUGCCUAAUACAUGCAAGUCGAGCGAACAGACGAGGAGCUUGCUCCUCUGACGUUAGCGGCGGACGGGUGAGUAACACGUGGACAACCUACCUAUAAGACUGGGAUAACUUCGGGAAACCGGAGCUAAUACCGGAUAAUAUAUUGAACCGCAUGGUUCAAUAGUGAAAGACGGUUUUGCUGUCACUUAUAGAUGGAUCCGCGUCGCAUUAGCUAGUUGGUAAGGUAACGGCUUACCAAGGCAACGAUGCGUAGCAGACCUGAGAGGGUAGUCGGCCACAGUGGAACUGAGACACGGUCCAGACUCCUACGGGAGGCAGCAGUAGGGAAUCUUCCGCAAUGGGCGAAAGCCUGACGGAGCAACGCCGCGUGAGUGAUGAAGGUCUUCGGAGCGUAAAACUCUGUUAUUAGGGAAGAACAAAUGUGUAAGUAACUGUGCACGUCUUGACGGUACCUAAUCAGAAAGCCACGGCUAACUACGUG
This 497-nucleotide ribosomal RNA is filed under the name uncultured bacterium. Its description in RNAcentral is "partial 16S ribosomal RNA". It matches the Rfam family "Bacterial small subunit ribosomal RNA", at positions 28 to 507 of the family's 1533-position model. The record is from RNAcentral.